ACGCUCUGGUUUCUCUUCAGACUCCAUAUAUCUUUCGCCUUUUACUAGUGGAGAGGAACGAGUACGAGUCUUAAGAAAUGUUUUGUGGCUCCACUGCGGUGGAGC
Cinclus cinclus is the source of this 105-nucleotide small nuclear RNA. RefSeq annotates it as U5 spliceosomal RNA. The record is from RefSeq and is a predicted model, not a curated record. The transcript has a single exon. Lineage: Eukaryota; Metazoa; Chordata; Aves; Passeriformes; Cinclidae.